This 117-nucleotide ribosomal RNA is filed under the name Bacillus sp. Aph1. Lineage: Bacteria; Bacillati; Bacillota; Bacilli; Caryophanales; Bacillaceae. The record is from RNAcentral.
GUCUGGUGGCGAUAGCGAAGAGGUCACACCCGUUCCCAUACCGAACACGGAAGUUAAGCUCUUUAGCGCCGAUGGUAGUUGGGACUUUGUCCCUGUGAGAGUAGGACGUUGCCAGGC